UAAUACAGAGGCCUCGAGCGUUAGGCGGAAUCACUGGGCUUAAAGCGUGUGUAGGUGGAUGCCUAAGUACCUUGUGAAAUCCCACGGCUUAACCGUGGAAUGGCUGGGUAUACUGGGCGUCUUGAGCCACUCAGGGGCUACCGGAACAAACGGUGGAGCGGUGAAAUGCGUAGAUAUCGUUUGGAACGCCAAUGGUGAAAACAGGUAGCUGGGGGUGUGCUGACACUGAGACACGAAAGCCAGGGGAGCGAACGGGAUUAGAUACCCCGGUAGUCCUGGCCCUAAACGAUGUCCACUAGAUCGUGGCGGUUCUAACGCCGUCAUGGUCGAAGCAAAAGUGCUAAGUGGACCGCCUGGGAAGUACGGUCGCAAGGCUA
Molecule: ribosomal RNA, 377 nt
Filed under: uncultured bacterium
Lineage: Bacteria
Description: bacterial SSU rRNA
Rfam family: Bacterial small subunit ribosomal RNA
Source: RNAcentral